CCAGCUCCAAUAGCGUAUAUUAAAGUUGUUGCAGUUAAAAAGCUCGUAGUCGGAUUUCUGGUGAUUAUGAUUCUGAUUAGUAUCUCAAGUAAAAUUAGAGAGCUAUUGGGGUUGUUUCGCCAUAUCAAUAGCGCCUGUUUUACGGGUUAACGCGCCUUAACUGGUUGUGUUCUCUCAGACAGGCCUAUUACCUUGAACAAAUUAGAGUGUUUAAAUCAGGCGUUUACGUCUCGAAUAAAUUAGCAUGGGAUAAUAAUACUGCCUUUUUAGUUAUUUUAUGGGGUAUAAUUAAGAAGUAAUGUCAAUAGGGAUGUUCGGGGCCAUUCAUAUUCAGUGGUUAGAGGUGAAAUUCUUAGAUUCACUGAAGAUGCCCUACUGCGAAAGCAUUUGGCUAGGACAUUCCCG
Molecule: ribosomal RNA, 405 nt
Filed under: uncultured Chaetoceros
Lineage: Eukaryota; Bacillariophyta; Thalassiosirophyceae; Chaetocerotales; Chaetocerotaceae
Description: SSU rRNA
Rfam family: Eukaryotic small subunit ribosomal RNA
Source: RNAcentral